Molecule: ribosomal RNA, 589 nt
Filed under: Alternaria rosae
Lineage: Eukaryota; Fungi; Ascomycota; Dothideomycetes; Pleosporales; Pleosporaceae
Description: eukaryotic LSU rRNA
Rfam family: 5.8S ribosomal RNA (bases 215-368)
Source: RNAcentral
CUGCGGAGGGAUCAUUACACAAUAUGAAGGCGGGCUGGACACCCUCCAGCCGGGCACUGCUUCACGGCGUGCGCGGCUGGAGCCGGCCCUGCUGAAUUAUUCACCCGUGUCUUUUGCGUACUUCUUGUUUCCUGGGUGGGCUCGCCCGCCAUCAGGACCAACCAUAAACCUUUUUGUAAUAGCAAUCAGCGUCAGUAACAACGUAAUUAAUUACAACUUUCAACAACGGAUCUCUUGGUUCUGGCAUCGAUGAAGAACGCAGCGAAAUGCGAUACGUAGUGUGAAUUGCAGAAUUCAGUGAAUCAUCGAAUCUUUGAACGCACAUUGCGCCCUUUGGUAUUCCAAAGGGCAUGCCUGUUCGAGCGUCAUUUGUACCCUCAAGCUUUGCUUGGUGUUGGGCGUCUUUUGUCUCCAGCUCGCUGGAGACUCGCCUUAAAGUCAUUGGCAGCCGGCCUACUGGUUUCGGAGCGCAGCACAAGUCGCGCUCUUGCCCAGCCAAGGUCAGCGUCCAGCAAGCCUUUUUUCAACCUUUGACCUCGGAUCAGGUAGGGAUACCCGCUGAACUUAAGCAUAUCAAUAAGCGGAGGAA